RNAcentral lists this ribosomal RNA (499 nucleotides) under uncultured bacterium. RNAcentral's name for it is "partial 16S ribosomal RNA". It matches the Rfam family "Bacterial small subunit ribosomal RNA", at positions 28 to 507 of the family's 1533-position model. The record is from RNAcentral.
GACGAACGCUGGCGGCGUGCUUAACACAUGCAAGUCGAACGGGCCCGCUCUCUUUUUUGGGGGUGGGUUGAGUGGCGAACGGGUGAGUAUCCCGUGAGUAACCUGCCCCCUGCUCCUGGAUAACUGCUUGAAAGGGCGGCUAAUACGGGGUGUGCCGGCUGGUCCGCAUGGGCCUGGUCGGGAUGGUUUCCUCUUCGGGUGUUUCGGUUGGGGAUGGGCUCGGUGCCUAUCAGCUUGUUGGGGGGGUGUUGGCCCACCAAGGCGGUGACGGGUAGCCGGCCUGAGAGGGUGGGCGGCCACACUGGGACUGAGACACGGGCCAGACUCCUGCGGGAGGCAGCAGUGGGGGGUAUUGCACAAUGGGCGGAAGCCUGAUGCAGCGACGUCGCGUGAGGGAUGGAGGCCUUCGGGUUGUGAACCUCUUUCUCCGGUGGUGAAGGCCCUGUCCGUUGCGGCGGGGUUGACGGUAGCCGGGGAUGAAGCGCCGGCUAACUACGUG